Molecule: ribosomal RNA, 471 nt
Filed under: uncultured bacterium
Lineage: Bacteria
Description: partial 16S ribosomal RNA
Rfam family: Bacterial small subunit ribosomal RNA
Source: RNAcentral
GACGAACGCUGGCGGCGUGCUUAACACAUGCAAGUCGAACGAUGAAGCCUAGCUUGCUAGGUGGAUUAGUGGCGAACGGGUGAGUAAUACGUGAGUAACCUACCUUUAACUCUGGGAUAAGCCCGGGAAACUGGGUCUAAUACCGGAUACGACCAAUCUCCGCAUGGGGUGUUGGUGGAAAGCGUUAUGUAGUGGUUAUAGAUGGGCUCACGUCCUAUCAGCUUGUUGGUGAGGUAACGGCUCACCAAGGCGACGACGGGUAGCCGGCCUGAGAGGGUGACCGGCCACACUGGGACUGAGACACGGCCCAGACUCCUACGGGAGGCAGAAGUGGGGAAUAUUGCACAAUGGGCGCAAGCCUGAUGCAGCGACGCCGCGUGAGGGAUGACGGCCUUCGGGUUGUAAACCUCUGUUAGCAGGGAAGAAGAGAGAUUGACGGUACCUGCAGAGAAAGCGCCGGCUAACUACGUG